UCAAGCUACUAAGGGCAUACGGUGGAUGCCUAGGCGCCAAGAGCCGAAGAAGGACGCGAUAAGCUGCGAAAAGCCAUGGUAAGUCGCAAGUAGACAUAGACCCAUGGAUGUCCGAAUGGGGCAACCCAGCAGUGGUAAUGCACUGUUACCUAUAGCUUUGACUAUAGGAGGUAGACCCGGGGAACUGAAACAUCUAAGUACCCGGAGGAAGAGUAAUCAAACGAGAUUCCCUAAGUAGCGGCGAGCGAACCGGGAAGAGCCCAAACCAGAUAACUUCGGUUAUGUGGGGUUGCGGACUAACAUAAUUCAGAAAAUAUCUAGCUGAAUCAUCUGGAAAGAUGAAUCAUAGAAGGUAAUAAUCCUGUAAGCGAAAGACAGAGCAAGAGGGCUAGAAUCCAGAGUACCACGAGACACGAGAAACCUUGUGGGAAGCAGGGGGGACCACCCUCCAAGGCAAAAUACUACUUGGCGACCGAUAGCGUAUAGUACCGUGAGGGAAAGGUGAAAAGCACCCCGGGAGGGGAGUGAAAGAGAACCUGAAACCGUAUGUCUACAAGCAGUCGAAGCACUUUAUAUGUGCGACGGCGUGCCUAUUGAAGAAUGAACCGGCGAGUUACGAUAUCUAGCGAGGUUAAGUGGAAGACACGGAGCCGAAGCGAAAGCGAGUCUUAAUAGGGCGAAUAGUUAGAUGUUGUAGACCCGAAACCGCAGUGAUCUAUCCAUGGCCAGGUUGAAGCGCAGGUAAAAUUGCGUGGAGGACCGAACCCGUGAACGUUGAAAAGUUUUGGGAUGAGUUGUGGAUAGGGGUGAAAUGCCAAUCGAACGCGGAGAUAGCUGGUUCUCCCCGAAAUAGCUUUAGGGCUAGCCUCAAGUGUUCAGUAUAGACGGUAGAGCUCUGAUCGGGCUAGGGGGCGUAAAGCUUACCGAACCUAGUUAAACUACGAAUGGCUAUACUAUAGAACUUGGGAGUCAGACUGCGAGUGAUAAGACCCGUAGUCAAGAGGGAAACAGCCCAGAACGCCGACUAAGGUCCCAAAUGCUGUGCUAAGUGGAAAAGGAUGUAAAACUUCACAAACAACCAGGAUGUUGGCUUAGAAGCAGCCACCAUUCAAAGAGUGCGUAAUAGCUCACUGGUCGAGAGGUUUUGCGCCGAAAAUGUCCGGGGCUAAAGCACAGAACCGAAGUCGCGUCAGAUUGAAAAAUAUCUGGGUAGGGGAGCGUUCUUAUCGGGCAGAAGCAAUACCGUAAGGAGUUGUGGACUGAUAAGAAGUGAGAAUGCCGGUAUGAGUAGCGAAAAGAACAGUGAGAAUCUGUUCCACCGAAAGCCUAAGGGUUCCUGAGCAACGAUCGUCGACUCAGGGUAAGUCGGGACCUAAGCCGAGGCGUAGAGCGUAGGCGAUGGACAACUGGUAAAUAUUCCAGUACCACCAAUAAUCAUUUGAGUGAUGGAGUGACACAGAAGGAAGGUUAAGCGCGAGGAUGGAAAUUCGCGUCUAAGCUGGUAGGGUGUGAUGUAGGCAAAUCCGCAUCAUGAAAGCCUGAGAAGUGAUGGGUAUAGUUACCUUGGUAACUAGAAAUUAACUGGACCACGCUGUCAAGAAAAGCUUCUAGCGAGAUUAAAGGUGCCCGUACCGUAAACCGACACAGGUAGGCGGGGAGAGAAUCCUAAGGUGCGCGGGAAAACCCUCGUUAAGGAACUCGGCAAAAUGUAUCCGUAACUUCGGGAAAAGGAUAACCUAAGCUGGUGAAGUCAUUAACUGACGGAGCUGGAGUAGGUCACAGAAGAGAGGCCCAAGCGACUGUUUACCACAAACACAGGUGCCUGCUAAAGAGAAAUCUGACGUAUAGGUGCUGACACCUGCCCGGUGCUGGAAGGUUAAGAGGAGUGCUUAGAGCAAUCGAAGGUAUGAAUUGAAGCCCCAGUAAACGGCGGCCGUAACUAUAACGGUCCUAAGGUAGCGAAAUUCCUUGUC
Molecule: ribosomal RNA, 1973 nt
Filed under: metagenome
Description: bacterial LSU rRNA
Rfam family: Bacterial large subunit ribosomal RNA
Source: RNAcentral